This 501-nucleotide ribosomal RNA is filed under the name uncultured bacterium. RNAcentral's name for it is "partial 16S ribosomal RNA". It matches the Rfam family "Bacterial small subunit ribosomal RNA", at positions 30 to 523 of the family's 1533-position model. The record is from RNAcentral.
AUUGAACGCUGGCGGCAGGCUUAACACAUGCAAGUCGAGCGGGGGAAGGUAGCUUGCUACCGGACCUAGCGGCGGACGGGUGAGUAAUGCUUAGGAAUCUGCCUAUUAGUGGGGGACAACAUCUCGAAAGGGAUGCUAAUACCGCAUACGUCCUACGGGAGAAAGCAGGGGAUCUUCGGACCUUGCGCUAAUAGAUGAGCCUAAGUCGGAUUAGCUAGUUGGGGGGGUAAAGGCCUACCAAGGCGACGAUCUGUAGCGGGUCCGAGAGGAUGAUCCGCCACACUGGGACUGAGACACGGCCCAGACUCCUACGGGAGGCAGCAGUGGGGAAUAUUGGACAAUGGGGGGAACCCUGAUCCAGCCAUGCCGCGUGUGUGAAGAAGGCCUUAUGGUUGUAAAGCACUUUAAGCGAGGAGGAGGCUACUCUAGUUAAUACCUAGGGAUAGUGGACGUUACUCGCAGAAUAAGCACCGGCUAACUCUGUGCCAGCCGCCGCAGUAA